CGACGUUGUAAAACGACGUUAUGCAUGAACGUAAUGCUCAUAACUUCCCUUUAGACCUAGCUGCUAUUGAAGUUCCAUCUACAAUUGGAUAAUACUUUGGUCCUAGUCUAUAUGAGUUUUUGAAAGUAAGGGAGCAAUCACCUCUUGUUCUAUCAAAAGUGCAUUGCUCCUUUACUUUUCUUUUUUUAUUACGACUAGAGUAGUCUUUUCUUGACAGAUCGUUUUUUUGUUACAAGAAAAUGAUUUUCAUGCUUUGGUUCAUGAUUGAGUCUCCUUUUUCGUUUUGUAUUCCUUUCGAAUUGAGAUACCUUUGUUUUGUGAAAUUUUUCUUUUCCAUUCAAAAGAAAAGAUAAAAUUUGCUUAAGACUUUCAAUUUCUAUCUCUGAAAUAAGAAAGAAAUA
This 401-nucleotide unclassified non-coding RNA is filed under the name Brachyloma scortechinii. RNAcentral's name for it is "partial miscellaneous RNA". The record is from RNAcentral. Lineage: Eukaryota; Viridiplantae; Streptophyta; Magnoliopsida; Ericales; Ericaceae.